This 632-nucleotide ribosomal RNA is filed under the name Aspigonus diversicornis. RNAcentral describes it as "eukaryotic LSU rRNA". It matches the Rfam family "Eukaryotic large subunit ribosomal RNA", at positions 386 to 775 of the family's 3401-position model. The record is from RNAcentral. Lineage: Eukaryota; Metazoa; Arthropoda; Insecta; Hymenoptera; Braconidae.
CCUGAGAAACCCGAAAGAUCGAAAGGGGAGAUUCAUCGUCAGCGUAUUUGGUAUAUGUGCAAAUUGCGAUAUAAUAUACGUUUUCUUCGUGAAAAUUAUUUUUGUACGCUUUUGUAUCAUUUAAUUGCUGAAUAUCGUCGGCGUGCACUUCUCCCCUAGUAGAACGUUGCGACCCGUUGGGUGUUGAUCUACGACCCGGUAGAUAGACUUUGAUGUCGUCUUAUAGACGUUACAUUGAAGAUCUCUGGUGUUUUCUGAUUAACUGCCCGGCGGUAUGAAAAUAUGGUAUUGAGUCGCUUUUGAAUGCGUCAAAUUUACCACAAGCCCAAUCAAUGUUUUAGUAGUUUACGGACAUAGUGCCGUCGCUUUACUUGAUCAGCUGUUAGUUGUGUAAUAUACUUUGACAGACUCGUUGAAUAUAUAAAAUACCAGUCAGCGAUGCUACUGCUUUGGGUACUUUCAGGACCCGUCUUGAAACACGGACCAAGGAGUCUAACAUGUACGCGAGUCAUUGGGUUAUAUUUAUAAAUUUAAACCUAAAGGCGUAAUGAAAGUAAAAAUUGUCCUUGUGUCAAUUAAGGGAGGAUGAGUUAUUUUACAGAUGUAGCUCCGCACUCCCGGGGCGUCUCAUU